GUAAUUAUUAAUAAGAAGUAGUACACCCGUGAAACAAGAAGAAGAAGAAGAAGAAGAAGAAGAAAGAACACUUUGGUGACUAUGGCGGAACCUGUAGCUCUAUCUUUUGUAACCUUCGUGGUGAAAAAGUUGGGGGAGUUGCUCCUCCAGGAAGCGCUAAACUUGCGUGGGGUGAGGCCUCAAGUUGAGCAAUUCCAAGCCCAGCUAAAUAGGAUGCAAUGCUUCUUAGAAGCUGCAGAUGCAAGACCAAAAGGAGAAGCAGAUGAGAUUGUAAUCCGCAACUGCGUUGCUGAGAUCAGAGAAGCAUCCUAUGAUGCUGAAGCUGCAAUUGCUACUUUUGUUGUCAAAAUUGGAUUUCAUACUAGUGGGAGAUCAGAUCAGUUCCCUUUCGUUCUCAAGAGGUAUUUGUGUAUCUUCAAGGAAUAUUCAGCCCUUCGUGAGGUUAGGUUGGAGAUUGAGGCUAUUAAUACCAGGAUCACCAAUAGCCUCACAACAGGUUUUCUAACUUGUGGAAUACUAAAUUCUACAGGAGUAGGAGAAAGUUCAUCAUCUACUUCUAUGGCCGAGAGGCAGCAACAAUUAAGGCGAUCCUAUACCCAUAUUGUUGAGGAGGAUGUUGUCGGCACAGAAGAAGAUGUAAAAGCUAUAGUGGAUCUUUUGGUGAAGGAGAAUAUGCAUUAUAGAGUUGUUUCCAUUUGGGGGAUGGGUGGUCUUGGCAAGACCACCCUUGCUAAGAAAGUUUACAAACACAUUGAAAUUAAGCGUCAUUUUAAAUGUGUUGCCUGGGCCUAUAUAUCUCAACAAUGCAAUACAAGGGAAGUUCUUGAAGGGAUUCUUAUCAAACUUCUCUCUCCAUCAAAUGAAGAAAGGGAAGCAAUUAGAAAGAUGAAACAUGAUGAGCUAGUCAAGGAACUUCAUCAAGUCCAAAGUGAGAAGAAAUGUUUGGUGAUUCUCGAUGACAUUUGGAAGGAUGCAGAUUGGGAUAGUUUGAGUCCAGGCUUCCCAAAUACUACAGGGGUAGGCAGCAAAAUAUUGCUAACAACUCGCAAUGAAAAUGUUGCUAAGCAUGUAGAUCAACAAUGCGUGCUUUAUAAAUUGAGGCACUUAACAGAAAAUGAGAGUUGGGAGCUAUUUGAAAAGAAAACAUUUCUGAGAAGAAAAGAAGGUACCGGACUCACAUCAAACAGAAAAAUAAUUGAGUUAGGGAAGGCAAUGGUCAAGCAUUGUGGUGGUGUUCCAUUGGCGAUUGUGGUAUUAGGAGGACUUUUGGCAACAAAAUACACAUUGGAGGACUGGAAGGAGGUGAGUAAAAACCUUAGUUAUGACUUAGGUAAGGGCAAAGGCCAAGCAAGAGUCUCAAUAACAGAAAUUUUAGCCUUAAGCUACCAAGACUUGCCUUGCCAUCUUAAGGCAUGUUUUUUGUAUUUGAGCCAUUUUCCUGAAGAUCAUGAUAUUCAUGCGAAAAAACUUAUUCAAAUGUGGAUGGCUGAAGGCAUUGUGUCGCCACGAGUAGGAGAACUAGAAGAGAAAACAAUGUUGGAUGUUGGAAUGUGUUACAUGGGUGAGUUAGUCCAAAGAUGCAUGGUUCAAGUCCAAUUAACAAGCUUCAGAAAAAGAAUUAAACUUUGUCGCCUCCAUGAUCUCAUGAGAGACUUGUGCUUGCUAAAGGCCAAAGAGGAGAAUUUUCUCAAGAUUGUUCGGAUUAAAGCCUUUGGUCAUCAGCUCGGGUGGGCAGACUCUACGUUGCCUUCUUCAUCAUCACCAUUAACAAGAAUCCGCAGGCUUGCCGUAUACUAUUUGGAUGACUAUGAUAUCAACUCUAUAAAAAGUGAAAAUGUAAUUCUCUUAUCUAGACAUGAAAUGAAGAAUCACAACCAUAUCCGAUCAUUUCAAUUUUACUCUUUGGGCAAAGAUUUGGGAUGUUCUGAUUGGCAAAAAUUAAAAUUACUCUUCACGGGCCUCACAUUGAUUACAGUUUUAGACCUUGAAAGAAUUACUAUAUAUCCGGUAGACAAAAUGUUUCCGAGAGCAAUAGGAAACCUAAUUCACCUGAGGUAUUUAAGUAUAAGAGGUUCUAACAUUAAAAGUUUGCCUUCGUCUAUAGGCAACUUAGGAUUCCUCCAAACCCUAGAUUUAAGGGGACGGGGGAGUUUAAGAAUACCCAAUGUCUUGUGGAGGUUGAAACAAUUGAGACAUCUAUAUCUUUCUGAUAGAAUCAAGCUAUCUUGCAUAGGUAAGUUGCGAUUGGAAGGUUUAAGCAAAUUGGAGACGCUAGAAAACUUUGAUGCAAGGAAGUGUGAUGUCAGAUGCUUAUCUAAACUGACAAAUCUUCGAAAAUUCAGUGGUGAGGUAGCCCCCAAAGACUUGGUCGUAAUGUUGAAAUCCCCAAUCCUCAACAAUUCAAACCGCCGUCUGCAAUAUUCAUCCUACGAUAUUACAGGAGAUUUCCGAACAGAAGAAGAACAAAGCCUUUUAAGGCAACUUUUAGGAUGCCACCAUCUUCGUCAAUUGUCUUUAUCAGGGUCGGUUAAGACAUUGCCAGGCCAAUUCCCUCCAAAUCUCACCCAGUUAAUCUUGUUGUAUACUGAACUAGAGGAAGACCCAAUGCCAACAUUGGAGAAGUUCCCCAACUUAAGAACUCUCUUCUUAGGUGAAAAUUCCUACAUGGGGAAGGAGAUGGUUUGUUCUUCUGCACCACCACCAACAACAACAGCACCAUCCAGCAGCAGUGGUGGAGGAGGGGGCUAUGGCGGCUGUGAUGGUGGAGGUUUUCUGAAACUCAUAUCUUUGGAGCUCUGGAAUAUUGAAAACUUGGAGGAGUGGAGGGUGGAACAAGGAGCCAUGCCUUGUCUCUUCCAUUUAGAGAUUGGUGGAUGCCCAAAAUUGAAGGAGAUUCCGGACGGAUUGAGGUUCAUUACCGCCCUCCGUGAAUUGGAUAUUAAAUACGCAUCUAAAGCCCUCCAACAGAGGUUUAGAGAAGGAGGAGAAGACUUCGACAAAGUCAAGCAUGUGCCUUCCAUCAUAAUUUAAGUAUUGACGACUGAUCUUUCUCGGACCUUCCUACAUUUACAUCAGCAGAUGGAGGGCAAUAAGAUAUCCAGGUGGUGGCAGCUCCAUUGUUUUUGGAUGUUUGUUAUCUUGCACAAUCUUUCCAUUCGUGCCAAUUAUAUCUCUACAGCCACGGAGUUUGCUCACAGCAGCGUUUUCCUUAGCCUGGUUUGCAGCAUUUUCUUGCAUCUCUUCUUCUCAUGGAGAGGCCUACUUGACAGCCUCUAGUCAAUCUACUGUUUGCUUCGUGCCUGGUCUCAAUUAAGUUGAAAUAAAUGGAGCUCAAGUGCAGAGAGCUUGAUGUACAAUAUUCAGCCUAUUCGCUAAUAACUUAAGCUUUUGGGCAACUAAUUAUCUAAUAUGUAGCUGAAAAAUCUGAUUUUUGAGGUGCAAGCCCAUAUUGCUCGGGUCAGGUGACACUUGCAGUUGAGUGUAAUAGAUGGACAGCAUCAACGACUGAAAACUUCCUCUGACCUGUGAGUGUACACCAUUUCUCCCAUAAACCAUAAAAUUUUACAUCUUGCACUGAUUUCAUGGCAAACUUGAGCGUGCGUUCUGAGUCUGUAAUAUAGUAUACUCAUUUAUUUACAAUUCUGUACUUCUUUCUUAUAUAUCUUCCUCUCUUUUAUGUAAUCCUUCUCAACGACUGUUGAUUUGUACCAAUGCAGAGGAGAAAGGAAUGAAAAAUUGUUUGUUGCAGUAA
Molecule: non-coding RNA, 3751 nt
Organism: Camellia sinensis
Lineage: Eukaryota; Viridiplantae; Streptophyta; Magnoliopsida; Ericales; Theaceae
Source: RefSeq, a predicted model, not a curated record